Molecule: non-coding RNA, 29 nt
Filed under: Mus musculus (house mouse)
Lineage: Eukaryota; Metazoa; Chordata; Mammalia; Rodentia; Muridae
Source: RNAcentral
UAGGUUAUUUCUCUACCUGUGAGAUGAGC